AGCAGCCGCGGUAAUUCCAGCUCCAAUAGCGUAUAUUAAAGUUGUUGCAGUUAAAAAGCUCGUAGUUGAAUUUCGGGAUCGACAGGUUGGUCGCGCCUUCGGUGUGUACUGGUCUAGUCGGUUUCUCCCUUCUGACGAACCACGAUGUCAUUAAUUUGGUGUCGUGGGAAAUCAGGACUGUUACUUUGAAAAAAUUAGAGUGUUUAAAGCAGGCAUUAGCUUGAAUACAUUAGCAUGGAAUAAUGAAAUAGGACGUUUGAUCCUAUUUUGUUGGUUUCUAGGAUCGACGUAAUGAUUAAUAGGGAUAGUUGGGGGCAUUAGUAUUCAAUUGUCAGAGGUGAAAUUCUUGGAUUUAUUGAAGACUAACUACUGCGAAAGCAUUUGCCAAGGAUGUUUUCAUUAAUCAAGAACGAAAGUUAGGGGAUCGAAGACGAUCAGAUACCGUCGUAG
Molecule: ribosomal RNA, 450 nt
Filed under: uncultured Glomeromycotina
Lineage: Eukaryota; Fungi; Glomeromycota
Description: SSU rRNA
Rfam family: Eukaryotic small subunit ribosomal RNA
Source: RNAcentral